RNAcentral lists this long non-coding RNA (2583 nucleotides) under Salmo salar (Atlantic salmon). RNAcentral's name for it is "lncRNA (ENSSSAG00000104627.1)". Lineage: Eukaryota; Metazoa; Chordata; Actinopteri; Salmoniformes; Salmonidae. The record is from RNAcentral.
CCCCACCACACCCCUACUUCCCACCCGUACACCACACCCCUACUUCCCACCCGUACACCACAUCCCUACUUCCCACCCGUACACCACACCCCUACUUCCCACCCGUACACCACACCCCUACUUCCCACCCGUACACCACACCCCUGCCUUUACCUGAGGAGAGAAUUGGUUUCAGAGAGGUAUGACAACUUGAGAUAGAAGUUGUUCUUUACUGCUGAUCUAGGGUCAGGUAUGAUUUCAUCCCCCUAAUGGUUAAGUUUAGGACUGGGGGUAGGUUAGGGCAGCCUGUACUUCCCCUGGCCAGGGAGGGGGCAGGCGGGUACUCGUGGUCUAACACAUGUCCAGGGGAUGACGGACGUAGGUUUAAAAGAUGACGUUUGACAGAUCAGAUCCUGUGCAUAACGUUGUACUUCCUGUUCUUUGUUUUGGGUUGUUUUUGUUUGUUUUUUGUUUUUCUUGCCGGGAGUUUGUCUGUUACAACCCAUGAUCCUGCCUCUUUGUCAGAGAAGAGAACCCUGAAACAAGCAGAACAACGCAGCAGCUCCUCCAGGGCUCUGGGGUUUAGACUAGGUCAACAGAGAUGUAGACUGACCACAUCCCACCUGUUCAGCAGCUCCUCCAGGGCUCUGGGGUUUAGACUAGGUCAACAGAGAUGUAGACUGACCACAUCCCACCUGUUCAGCAGUAGCCUGAAAUAAUCAGAAUAAUAACGAUGAUGAUGAUGAUGCUAUAGAGCUCAAGACAAUUAGGGAAGGGCAUACCACUGUCCUCUUUCUGAAGACUCUCACAUACACACUUGAGCAUUCUGCACAUGAUAACCUAUAUUACAUGACUUUAUACCAUAUGGGAUGAGACGUUUACUCAUUGUGUUACCCGUCUUGUUUUGGGGGUGGGGAGGAGGUAGUGGGUGGGAUUUGGGAGAAGGGGUGUGGUAGGUAGUGGGUGGGAUUUGGGAGAAGGGGUGUGGUAGGUAGUGGUGGGAUUUGGGAGAAGGGGUGUGGUAGGUAGUGGGUGGGAUUUGGGAGAAGGGGUGUGGUAGGUAGUGGGUGGGAUUUGGGAGAAGGGGUGUGGUAGGUAGUGGUGGGAUUUGGGAGAAGGGGUGUGGUAGGUAGUGGGUGGGAUUUGGGAGAAGGGGUGUGGUAGGUAGUGGGUGGGAUUUGGGAGAAGGGGUGUGGUAGGUAGUGGUGGGAUUUGGGAGAAGGGGUGUGGUAGGUAGUGGGUGGGAUUUGGGAGAAGGGGUGUGGUAGGUAGUGGGUGGGAUUUGGGAGAAGGGGUGUGGGAGGUAGCGGGUGGGAUUUGGGAGAAGGGGUGUGGUAGGUAGCGGGUGGGAUUUGGGAGAAGGGGUGUGGUAGGUAGUGGGUGGGAUUUGGGAGAAGGGGUGUGGGAGGUAGCGGGUGGGAUUUGGGAGAAGGGGUGUGGUAGGUAGCGGGUGGGAUUUGGGAGAAGGGGUGUGGUAGGUAGUGGUGGUUCACUGAUGUAAACCUCCAUUGUUUGUUCCUUCAUUAUCCAUCCAUUUAUUCAUUUUUUUUCAUUCCCUACAUUUUUUUUAUUCAGUCACGUGUUUUCAACUUGAGCAAAGUAGUGUUUGUUCCAUUUUUUAUGGGGGGGCACAUCCCACCAUGCAAGCUUCUCUUUAUAAAGACCCACCACUGUCUGGUACUGUGAGACGCCAUUGGCAGCAGCUCCCAGGUCACUAUGCACUCUGACCAAUCCGUGUGGAGUGGGGCCUGUGAAUCCUUUGAUAUACUUCCUGAUUUGAUAUACCUCUAUACUGGAAUUACAGCUUCUGUUUUACAUCUGGAAUUUCAGAACCUAUACAACUAUACUAUUUGUAGCUUUUUUACUGUCCGUCAAAAAAAUCUAUCUUCUGCUCAGUACCUCUCCUUUGUCGUUUUCUUUCACUUCUCUCUCUUUUCAUGAUCGGUCAUUCUCUCCCUCUUAUUUCUGUCUGUGGCUCAGAACAUGCAGCAUGUGUGUGUAAAGCUCCACCGAGGGUAGGCUCGAUCUCAGGCUCGAUAUCAACCUGUGCUGUGUGCAUGUACAUAAUGUAUAUUUCUUUUGUUGACUGUAUUAAAGAAGAACCAGAGAAUCCUCGCUGUCACGUUGUUUUUUUUGUCGCUGUAUACUGGUACAUUAAGAGUGUCUCUCUGUCUGUCUGUCUGUCUGUCUGUGUGUCUGUCUGUCUCGCAAUUUUAAUUUAAGGGGCUUUAUUGGCAUGGGAAACAUGAAAUAGAUAAUAAAAGUGAAAUCUCUCUCGGUCUCUGUCCUGUGAAGACAUCCUCCAUCACACUACUGUCAGAAAUAAAGAGGUGCUCUCUAAUCUCACGUGUUGGCUACAUGUUGUAAUUUAACUAAUUGUCUUUUUAUAAAAACAAAUUCCUGCUACAUCUGUCUGACUGGCACAGAUGACACCAGCUCAAUAAAACACAGCACAAAAAAACACUGAACUGAAAAAAGAAAUAAUCAAGUCAUGAUUUUUCCCUCCCGUUUCAUUGUAAUGAUGGAAAUAAGGGCAUCAUUCUGAGAUUAGUGCUUCUAUUUCUCCCUGCGUGACACUGGCUGUUAUACCCGCCUCUGCUACAG